GAAAAAAAUAAAUUUUCGGGCGAAGAGAUCAAAAUAAACAUGAAACUCUUAACUUUCUUAUUUAGAAAUAAAAUUCUAAAUUUGUAUGUUUCUAAAUUGGUAUGAAAUUUUCAUUAGACAGAAUUAAACAUAGAUCAACUUAUGAUUAUAAGUGACUACUAAAGUACAAGGUUUCUCGACCCAAGUUGAGAGAGAACCAAUGGACCAUGCAUCUUUAACUAGCUUACUCCAACUAUUAUCUAACUCCUGAAUGACACAAUCAAAAGGAUCGCCUUAACACCUCUUCAUGCUACAAGGAGCUAAGCUGGAACUUGAAACAUGAUGGCUAGUGUUGAGCGAGAAACCCAUGACGAACCAAAUGUCCGCAGUCUAAUAGUAGCAAACACAAUGAAACUUUGUAUGAUGCUUCCAGAUCAUCAGUGAAAUUGCUUGAAACUCAGCUCACACCUACACACAUGCACAAUCAUUAUGCAUGUCCAAAUUAUUUACACUCAUGUCACCUACACAAAUGCACAAUCAUUAUGCAUGUCCAAACUAUUUACACUCAAGCCGACCAAAUCAACAAUAGUGACAUCCUAUACUAUUUGAAACAUACCAUUCUUAUUACUAUCAACAUCAACUGUGGUACCCUUGCUAACCAGCCCCGUAAAACCCUCAAUCCGGCAACACUAAUCAAUGCAAAAAAUAGGCAUCGUUACCCAUAAUUAAAUACAAAGAAAAAUACUGAAAUUUUAAAACAUGUAUAAUCUAAUAGCAUCAGUAAGAACGGCUACUGCAUUACAUACCAUCUCCAUAGCACAUUAUGCUGUCAUGACGCUCCAAUUAAGCCUAAAACACACAAAAUUUUACUUCUUAGAUCCAGACUGAUAAGAUAUCAGCUUUAAUAGAUGUUUUGGAUAAUAUAAUUAUGAGAAAUGAGACUGAGGCACGUCGAGUAUCCCAAUACAUAGUAGAUAGUGAUGUGAUUUUAAUGAAAAAUAAUAUAGCAAAUACUCAAUUUUGACCAUGGAUGAAUUGUAUAAUACAUGAAUAGAUGAUUAAGGGGUUGGGGCAUGACAAGUAUAUUGAUACUUAGUAGAGUGUUUCUUGGUUAAUGAAUUGUAGUAAAAAUUAUAUGAAAUAAAAAAUUUGAAAUAAUCGAAUUUGUUCAAGGAACAAACAUCAAAUCUAAAAAUGUGAGUUACAUAUCAUACCUAAAUAACUUUUCACUAGAAGAAGAGAUAAAACUUAUAUCGCAUACCUAAUUCCGCAAUGUGAUUGUCAUUCGUUUCUUCUUCCAUUCAAAAGAGCAAAUAAAUUAUUUAGCCCCAAGUACGAAGCACACCAGCGACAAUGUUUGAAUGGAGAAAGCGUUCUUUGAUGAAUAUGAAUUAGGAGAUGGGUAUUUAUAUAAAAUCAAAUUCUAUUUUAAGAUUUCAAUCCUUGUUAAAUAUUGUAAUAAGCACUAAAUUCGUGAAUAAAUUUUAUAUUUGAAAUUUUCUAAACAUUGAUGUGAGCGUUUCAAAUUUAUUAUUUAUGAAAUUACUGAAAUAUUCUUAAUGAUCAAAGUACAAGGUUUCUCAAACCAAAUUAAGAGAGAACGAUAUAUAUUGUUUUUAAUUAAUUAAGAUAACACAACCUAAAUUAGAAAAAUAAAUAAAUGUGUUCACAAAUUGUUGCAACUAGAUCAAAUCGGAAACCUUUUAAUCGUCAAUAAACUAUUUCUCUUGGUGUGUUUUCCUUUACGUGUUUGGGACGUCAAGCUUGUGAGUGUUUGGUUGCGUGUUGCUUGCUCUGAAUUCUCUAUAUAGUUUGCCUUCCAAGGUUAUAUUUUGAAGCAAUAAUUUUCUUUAACUAUAUAGUUUGCCUUCCUAGGUCAUAUUUUGAAGCAGUAGUUUUCUUUAAUAUACAUACAACCAUUUAGAUAAAAAAAUAAACGUCAAUAUAUUAUUUUACCUAAUGAGCUACAUUACUUAGAUAGAAUCAUAUAUCUCAUUUUAUAUCAUACCACUGUUCUUUAUAUUUUUUAAAGGUGUACUCUAUGCACGAUACAUAAAGUUUCACACAUAAAAUAAUAAUAAAAAUAAAAGGAGAAAAUUGAAAAACUUUAAAAAUAAUAUAAAAGUUAUUUCUCACUCUAUACUGUCACACCUUUCAGUGGAUUACUCUCUCGCCGCGCAUGUUUUUGUGAAAUUUAUGGCACAACCAUCCUCGCUGGUAACUUCCUCCAACGACUUCCCCACCACUUUCGUAAACAUAAAAGUUGAAAUAAAACCCAAAAUACAUUUGUAAAAGCCAAAAACCAUCAAGAUGUACUUAAUCCUACUCACCUUCUUAUCCAAUGUGUAAGACUACAAAACAAAACCAGCCACAAUCAACCUGACUUUUCUUGCAACGGCACUCAAUGCAUGACACGUUGACCUCAGUCGGGCCAGGAAAAGCUCCCCGGGCCAGAUGAAAGUUGUCGUAUUGGGCCCAAAGUUCCCAAAGACGAACCAAAGUUCAGAUAACACGGUGAACAAUCUCUUGGUAAUAUGCCACAAAUACUCGUACUUAAUUCCCAUAACCAACAAAAACGUCAAUAUCAUGAAAAAUCCCAUUAACUGAAUCACGUAUUAACCCAACUUCUCGAUGAACGUGAUUUUGAACUAACAUCCGGGGAAAGUAUCUAAUAAUGCAACGACGAACAUGGCGCAUUAGGAGAUCAACAGAGGAAACGUGACAAGAAAAUUAUGGGAUCUUUUGAACAACUCAAAAGAGGUUCUCAACAUUGUUUAGCCACAUAAGGAGUUUAGUCGUACAAUUUCUGCUAAAUUUAGUUAUUCAAUAAAUUAUUAGUAGCAAAAUGAAACUUUUAAAAGACUUGUGGAUUUGGAAUACCUUCAAAGUCCAGGAGAAGAAGACAACUUGUCUGGCAACUGACAAUGGUUUAUUGGGAGUCCUACCAAUAACAGACCAAUGGAAAAUUUUAAUGUCUAGUCAGGGAAUGAAAAACAACCGUUGCUAAGAAAGAUUGAUAGAGUGAAGAACUCAAAUCUAUAAACUUAAAUGGUAUAUGUAACAUAGUGGAACAAGUAUGAAGUGAAUGAAGAAAAUUAGGAUUUUAAUGGGAGGAAUGCAGGAAAGAAUAGUGUUUGCUGUUAUAUCUCUGUUGUUACAUUCCCUUAUUUUUCAUCCACAUCACCGUGCUUCUACACUAACAACAGCUCAACAAUGAGUUCGAUUGUUCAGGAUCCACCGAAUUUGGGGUUCGGAUCGAGUGGACAAUGGUGAAUCAAGCAAUAGCAUGUAGUUUUUUGUCGUUGCCAUUUAUCAACAUGUGAAGAGACCACCAUGCAAAAUUGACUCUGAUUUUUUGUGGGGUUUUUUUUUUCAGCUCUACUAUAAUAAGAUGUACUUAAAGAACACAACACAAAUCUACGAAUUGGGGUUGUUUAUUACAAAACUCAGAAUUCGGUACGGGGAACGAUUUUCUACUUCAUUUCUUCUUUUUUGAUCAUUUGAUUCAUUAAGAAUGUUAUUCACUCCAUUUAUCAGUUUGCGAAACGUGUACAAUUCUUAAAAACUGAGUACAUGUCAAAAACCUAAUACAAAACAUUGUCACGUAAAGAUUUCAAAAACAUAAUUCCAACAAAGAUGGUCUAGUGGGCGAAUUUUGUUUUUGGAAUCUUAACUCUAGUGAGAGGAAAAAACCUGCUUGAAAAAUUUAGCUCGACAUAAAUGGUUUGGCCAAUGGAAUUUCUAUUUGAUCAUAAAAAAGUUUGCAUUUGCUCCUUUUAAGACAAGGGUAUUGAGUGGAAAUUUUAAUUGAAAAGAUAUGGAUAUUAUAUUCUUGUUAGAGAUGGAUUUAUAUUUUCAUAUGAAAAAAAUAAAUUUUCGGGCGAAGAGAUCAAAAUAAACAUGAAACUCUUAACUUUCUUAUUUAGAAAUAAAAUUCUAAAUUUGUAUGAAAUUUUUAGAGACAGAAUUAAACAUAGAUUAACUUAUGAUUGUAAGUGACUACUAAAGUACAAGGUUUCUCGACCCAAGUUGAGAGAGAACCAAUGGACCAUGCAUCUUUAAUUAGCUUACAACAACUAUUAUCUAACUCCGGAAUGACACAAUCAAAAGGAUCGC
Molecule: long non-coding RNA, 4095 nt
Filed under: Linum usitatissimum (flax)
Lineage: Eukaryota; Viridiplantae; Streptophyta; Magnoliopsida; Malpighiales; Linaceae
Description: long non-coding RNA (LUSI_LNC003476)
Source: RNAcentral